UCAGAAUGCUGCGGUGAAUACGUUCCCGGGUCUUGUACACACCGCCCGUCACACCAUGGGAGUCGGAAAUGCCCGAAGCCGGUGACCAAACCAAUAAGGAAGGAGCCGUCGAAGGCAGGUCUGAUAACUGGGGUGAAGUCGUAACAAGGUAUC
RNAcentral lists this ribosomal RNA (153 nucleotides) under uncultured bacterium. RNAcentral describes it as "partial 16S ribosomal RNA". It matches the Rfam family "Bacterial small subunit ribosomal RNA", at positions 1349 to 1500 of the family's 1533-position model. The record is from RNAcentral.